GCUGAGCAGUAGGACCUGAAAUGAUUUCCUUCAACAUUUAGUCAGACUGAUUUUCUGGAUCCAAGUCUUUCGACCUACUAAACGUGGACAGAUUAUUUCAUCUCUCUGGCACCUUACACUCUGGGGGUACAGAGCCAAGAUAAUAGCUUGUGCUUGGAACAGUGCCAGGAAUAUGCCAUUGUGACAAGGCAUCACCAAUCAUCAGGUCCUUUUACCCGGAGCUCCCAUGUCAUGGCCACUUGUCUCUGUAUAUAAAGGGAGUGAUGAGGAUGCUGCUUUGGAUGAAUGGACCUGGGGUGGGGAAAGGGGGCAGCAGACAGAGGCUGUCGUGGCAACAAGAUCUCUGCUGCUGGCCAGAAUUGGGAAAUGUAAGAAGAUGGUGAAUUACUAUAGAUGUAAGUGUUCAGUAUGCCAUCUGACGGAUUUACUACAGAGAAAAAAAUCAAAGAAGUUAUGCCAGAAAAAGAACAGGAAGACAAGUCGGCAGCAUAAGCCAAUGCUCUGGUUGAAGACACUGCUUGACAUCAUGUUUUUCCAUGUCAUGUUUUCUCCCAUGGCCAGCAAAAAGAAAAGCCUCUUUUGGUCCAGGCCCAAGACCACCAUGAUCAUCUUUGAUUUUACAUCUCUGCCCCAGGGUCUCUAAGUAAAAUCUCUCUCCUUUCACUGA
Long non-coding RNA from Callorhinus ursinus (northern fur seal), 667 nucleotides. RefSeq lists it as uncharacterized. The record is from RefSeq and is a predicted model, not a curated record. NCBI's taxonomy places the organism in Eukaryota, Metazoa, Chordata, Mammalia, Carnivora, Otariidae.